This 2933-nucleotide ribosomal RNA is filed under the name Escherichia coli. RNAcentral's name for it is "23S ribosomal RNA". It matches the Rfam family "Bacterial large subunit ribosomal RNA". Lineage: Bacteria; Pseudomonadati; Pseudomonadota; Gammaproteobacteria; Enterobacterales; Enterobacteriaceae. The record is from RNAcentral.
GGGUUGUGAGGUUAAGCGACUAAGCGUACACGGUGGAUGCCCUGGCAGUCAGAGGCGAUGAAGGACGUGCUAAUCUGCGAUAAGCGUCGGUAAGGUGAUAUGAACCGUUAUAACCGGCGAUUUCCGAAUGGGGAAACCCAGUGUGAUUCGUCACACUAUCAUUAACUGAAUCCAUAGGUUAAUGAGGCGAACCGGGGGAACUGAAACAUCUAAGUACCCCGAGGAAAAGAAAUCAACCGAGAUUCCCCCAGUAGCGGCGAGCGAACGGGGAGCAGCCCAGAGCCUGAAUCAGUGUGUGUGUUAGUGGAAGCGUCUGGAAAGGCGCGCGAUACAGGGUGACAGCCCCGUACACAAAAAUGCACAUGCUGUGAGCUCGAUGAGUAGGGCGGGACACGUGGUAUCCUGUCUGAAUAUGGGGGGACCAUCCUCCAAGGCUAAAUACUCCUGACUGACCGAUAGUGAACCAGUACCGUGAGGGAAAGGCGAAAAGAACCCCGGCGAGGGGAGUGAAAAAGAACCUGAAACCGUGUACGUACAAGCAGUGGGAGCACAGAGCAAUCUGUGUGACUGCGUACCUUUUGUAUAAUGGGUCAGCGACUUAUAUUCUGUAGCAAGGUUAACCGAAUAGGGGAGCCGAAGGGAAACCGAGUCUUAACUGGGCGUUAAGUUGCAGGGUAUAGACCCGAAACCCGGUGAUCUAGCCAUGGGCAGGUUGAAGGUUGGGUAACACUAACUGGAGGACCGAACCGACUAAUGUUGAAAAAUUAGCGGAUGACUUGUGGCUGGGGGUGAAAGGCCAAUCAAACCGGGAGAUAGCUGGUUCUCCCCGAAAGCUAUUUAGGUAGCGCCUCGUGAAUUCAUCUCCGGGGGUAGAGCACUGUUUCGGCAAGGGGGUCAUCCCGACUUACCAACCCGAUGCAAACUGCGAAUACCGGAGAAUGUUAUCACGGGAGACACACGGCGGGUGCUAACGUCCGUCGUGAAGAGGGAAACAACCCAGACCGCCAGCUAAGGUCCCAAAGUCAUGGUUAAGUGGGAAACGAUGUGGGAAGGCCCAGACAGCCAGGAUGUUGGCUUAGAAGCAGCCAUCAUUUAAAGAAAGCGUAAUAGCUCACUGGUCGAGUCGGCCUGCGCGGAAGAUGUAACGGGGCUAAACCAUGCACCGAAGCUGCGGCAGCGACGCUGAUGCGUUGUUGGGUAGGGGAGCGUUCUGUAAGCCUGUGAAGGUGUACUGUGAGGUAUGCUGGAGGUAUCAGAAGUGCGAAUGCUGACAUAAGUAACGAUAAAGCGGGUGAAAAGCCCGCUCGCCGGAAGACCAAGGGUUCCUGUCCAACGUUAAUCGGGGCAGGGUGAGUCGACCCCUAAGGCGAGGCCGAAAGGCGUAGUCGAUGGGAAACAGGUUAAUAUUCCUGUACUUGGUGUUACUGCGAAGGGGGGACGGAGAAGGCUAUGUUGGCCGGGCGACGGUUGUCCCGGUUUAAGCGUGUAGGCUGGUUUUCCAGGCAAAUCCGGAAAAUCAAGGCUGAGGCGUGAUGACGAGGCACUACGGUGCUGAAGCAACAAAUGCCCUGCUUCCAGGAAAAGCCUCUAAGCAUCAGGUAACAUCAAAUCGUACCCCAAACCGACACAGGUGGUCAGGUAGAGAAUACCAAGGCGCUUGAGAGAACUCGGGUGAAGGAACUAGGCAAAAUGGUGCCGUAACUUCGGGAGAAGGCACGCUGAUAUGUAGGUGAAGUCCCUCGCGGAUGGAGCUGAAAUCAGUCGAAGAUACCAGCUGGCUGCAACUGUUUAUUAAAAACACAGCACUGUGCAAACACGAAAGUGGACGUAUACGGUGUGACGCCUGCCCGGUGCCGGAAGGUUAAUUGAUGGGGUCAGCGCAAGCGAAGCUCUUGAUCGAAGCCCCGGUAAACGGCGGCCGUAACUAUAACGGUCCUAAGGUAGCGAAAUUCCUUGUCGGGUAAGUUCCGACCUGCACGAAUGGCGUAAUGAUGGCCAGGCUGUCUCCACCCGAGACUCAGUGAAAUUGAACUCGCUGUGAAGAUGCAGUGUACCCGCGGCAAGACGGAAAGACCCCGUGAACCUUUACUAUAGCUUGACACUGAACAUUGAGCCUUGAUGUGUAGGAUAGGUGGGAGGCUUUGAAGUGUGGACGCCAGUCUGCAUGGAGCCGACCUUGAAAUACCACCCUUUAAUGUUUGAUGUUCUAACGUUGACCCGUGAUCCGGGUUGCGGACAGUGUCUGGUGGGUAGUUUGACUGGGGCGGUCUCCUCCUAAAGAGUAACGGAGGAGCACGAAGGUUGGCUAAUCCUGGUCGGACAUCAGGAGGUUAGUGCAAUGGCAUAAGCCAGCUUGACUGCGAGCGUGACGGCGCGAGCAGGUGCGAAAGCAGGUCAUAGUGAUCCGGUGGUUCUGAAUGGAAGGGCCAUCGCUCAACGGAUAAAAGGUACUCCGGGGAUAACAGGCUGAUACCGCCCAAGAGUUCAUAUCGACGGCGGUGUUUGGCACCUCGAUGUCGGCUCAUCACAUCCUGGGGCUGAAGUAGGUCCCAAGGGUAUGGCUGUUCGCCAUUUAAAGUGGUACGCGAGCUGGGUUUAGAACGUCGUGAGACAGUUCGGUCCCUAUCUGCCGUGGGCGCUGGAGAACUGAGGGGGGCUGCUCCUAGUACGAGAGGACCGGAGUGGACGCAUCACUGGUGUUCGGGUUGUCAUGCCAAUGGCACUGCCCGGUAGCUAAAUGCGGAAGAGAUAAGUGCUGAAAGCAUCUAAGCACGAAACUUGCCCCGAGAUGAGUUCUCCCUGACUCCUUGAGAGUCCUGAAGGAACGUUGAAGACGACGACGUUGAUAGGCCGGGUGUGUAAGCGCAGCGAUGCGUUGAGCUAACCGGUACUAAUGAACCGUGAGGCUUAACCUUACAACGCCGAAGGUGUUU